RNAcentral lists this transfer RNA (58 nucleotides) under Canis lupus (wolf). RNAcentral describes it as "partial tRNA-Gln". The record is from RNAcentral. Lineage: Eukaryota; Metazoa; Chordata; Mammalia; Carnivora; Canidae. RNAcentral also lists the same sequence under 1 other name.
UAGAAUAUAGUGUAAGUUUGGUAGCACGAAGAUCUUUGAAUUCUUAAGAUUAGGUUCG